UGGCUAUGAAAUCGGCUCCUGCAUAAAAGUAAAAGAGAUGAUAACUUCAAGUUAUAAGAGAAGAAACGAGAUACUACGCAGUAGAAAAAUAUUAAAGACAUACCUGGGAAAAUGAUUGAGAACUUAAGAAACUAGAAGGUAACUCUAGAGUUCUAAAACAACGCCUCCACGAACAUCAAUACUCGAGCACUCAUGAAGUUUAUUUUCAAUGUUGUGAUCUACUUACGUCAGAGGGAGCUGCAUAUUCUUCU
Arabidopsis thaliana (thale cress) is the source of this 251-nucleotide long non-coding RNA. RefSeq annotates it as other RNA. The transcript has a single exon. The record is from RefSeq. NCBI's taxonomy places the organism in Eukaryota, Viridiplantae, Streptophyta, Magnoliopsida, Brassicales, Brassicaceae.